GAUGAACGCUGGCGGCGUGCCUAAUACAUGCAAGUCGAGCGAACAGACGAGGAGCUUGCUCCUCUGACGUUAGCGGCGGACGGGUGUGUAACACGUGGAUAACCUACCUAUAAGACUGGGAUAACUUCGGGAAACCGGAGCUAAUACCGGAUAAUAUAUUGAACCGCAUGGUUCAAUAGUGAAAGACGGUUUUGCUGUCACUUAUAGAUGGAUCCGCGCCGCAUUAGCUAGUUGGUAAGGUAACGGCUUACCAAGGCGACGAUGCGUAGCCGACCUGAGAGGGUGAUCGGCCACACUGGAACUGAGACACGGUCCAGACUCCUAAGGGAGGCAGCAGUAGGGAAUCUUCCGCAAAGGGCGAAAGCCUGACGGAGCAACGCCGCGUGAGUGAUGAAGGUCUUCGGAUCGUAAAACUCUGUUAUUAGGGAAGAACAAAUGUGUAAGUAACUAUGCACGUCUUGACGGUACCUAAUCAGAAAGCCACGGCUAACUACGUG
This 497-nucleotide ribosomal RNA is filed under the name uncultured bacterium. RNAcentral describes it as "partial 16S ribosomal RNA". It matches the Rfam family "Bacterial small subunit ribosomal RNA", at positions 28 to 507 of the family's 1533-position model. The record is from RNAcentral.